Molecule: ribosomal RNA, 463 nt
Filed under: uncultured soil bacterium
Lineage: Bacteria
Description: bacterial SSU rRNA
Rfam family: Bacterial small subunit ribosomal RNA
Source: RNAcentral
AGAUUGAACGCUGGCGGCAUGCCUUACACAUGCAAGUCGAACGGUAGAGUAGCAAUACUUGAGAGUGGCGAACGGGUGAGUAAUAUAUCGGAACGUGCCCAGUCGUGGGGGAUAACGUAGAGAAAUUUACGCUAAUACCGCAUACGAUCUAAGGAUGAAAGCGGGGGACCGUAAGGCCUCGCGCGAUUGGAGCGGCUGAUAUCAGAUUAGGUUGUUGGUGAGGUAAAAGCUCACCAAGCCGACGAUCUGUAGCUGGUUUGAGAGAACGACCAGCCACACUGGGACUGAGACACGGCCCAGACUCCUACGGGAGGCAGCAGUGGGAAUUUGGACAAUGGGCGAAAGCCUGAUCCAGCAAUGCCGCGUGCAGGAAGAAGGCCUUACGGGUUGUAAACGUGCUUUUAGUACGGAACGUAACGGUCUGACUUAAUACAGUGGCUAAUGACGUACCGUAAGAAUAAGC